RNAcentral lists this ribosomal RNA (460 nucleotides) under uncultured bacterium. RNAcentral describes it as "partial 16S ribosomal RNA". It matches the Rfam family "Bacterial small subunit ribosomal RNA", at positions 339 to 795 of the family's 1533-position model. The record is from RNAcentral.
CUACGGGACGCAGCAGUUUCGAAUAAUUCACAAUGGGCGCAAGCCUGAUGAUGCGACGUUACGUGAAGGAAGAAAGCUUUAAGUUGUAAACUUCUGUCGUUAAGGAACAAAAAAUUAAGUAGUACUUUUUAUAUUGAGUUAACUUAAAAAGGAAGCAGUGGCUAAUUUCGUGCCAGCAGCCGCGGUAAUACGGGAACUGCAAGCGUUGCUCGGUUUUAUUGGGCGUAAAGAGUACGUAGGCUGUUAUAUAUGUUAAUUGUUAAAUUUUAAAGUUAAUCUUUAAAUUUGCUGUUAAAACUAUAUAACUAGAAUAUCAAAGAGGUAAGUGGAAUUUCAAGUGUCGCGGUGAUAUGCGUAGAUAUUUGAAGGAACACCAAUGGCGAAAGCAACUUACUGGGUGAUAAUUGACGCUAAAGUACGAAAGUAUAGGGAGCAAAAGGGAUUAGAUACCCUAGUAGUC